GACGAACGCUGGCGGCGUGCCUAAUACAUGCAAGUCGAACGCAUUUUCUUUCACCGUAGCUUGCUACACCGAAAGAAAAUGAGUGGCGAACGGGUGAGUAACACGUGGGUAACCUGCCCAUCAGCGGGGGAUAACACUUGGAAACAGGUGCUAAUACCGCAUAAUUCCAUUUACCGCAUGGCAGAUGGAUGAAAGGCGCUUUUGCGUCACUGAUGGAUGGACCCGCGGUGCAUUAGCUAGUUGGUGGGGUAACGCCUACCAAGGCUGCGAUGCAUAGCCGACCUGAGAGGGUGAUCGGCCACACUGGGACUGAGACACGGCCCAG
Molecule: ribosomal RNA, 325 nt
Filed under: uncultured bacterium
Lineage: Bacteria
Description: bacterial SSU rRNA
Rfam family: Bacterial small subunit ribosomal RNA
Source: RNAcentral